GACGAACGCUGGCGGCGUGCCUAAUACAUGCAAGUCGAGCGAGCGGAACCAACAGAUUUACUUCGGUAAUGACGUUGGGAAAGCGAGCGGCGGAUGGGUGAGUAACACGUGGGGAACCUGCCCCUAAGUCUGGGAUACCAUUUGGAAACAGGUGCUAAUACCGGAUAAUAAAGCAGAUCGCAUGAUCAGCUUUUGAAAGGCGGCGUAAGCUGUCGCUAAGGGAUGGCCCCGCGGUGCAUUAGCUAGUUGGUAAGGUAACGGCUUACCAAGGCGACGAUGCAUAGCCGAGUUGAGAGACUGAUCGGCCACAUUGGGACUGAGACACGGCCCAAACUCCUACGGGAGGCAGCAGUAGGGAAUCUUCCACAAUGGACGCAAGUCUGAUGGAGCAACGCCGCGUGAGUGAAGAAGGUUUUCGGAUCGUAAAGCUCUGUUGUUGGUGAAGAAGGAUAGAGGCAGUAACUGGCCUUUAUUUGACGGUAAUCAACCAGAAAGUCACGGCUAACUACGUGCCAGCAGCCGCGGUAAUACGUAGGUGGCAAGCGUUGUCCGGAUUUAUUGGGCGUAAAGCGAGCGCAGGCGGAAAAAUAAGUCUAAUGUGAAAGCCCUCGGCUUAACCGAGGAACUGCAUCGGAAACUGUUUUUCUUGAGUGCAGAAGAGGAGAGUGGAACUCCAUGUGUAGCGGUGGAAUGCGUAGAUAUAUGGAAGAACACCAGUGGCGAAGGCGGCUCUCUGGUCUGCAACUGACGCUGAGGCUAGAAAGCAUGGGUAGCGAACAGG
Molecule: ribosomal RNA, 781 nt
Filed under: uncultured bacterium
Lineage: Bacteria
Description: bacterial SSU rRNA
Rfam family: Bacterial small subunit ribosomal RNA
Source: RNAcentral